This 514-nucleotide ribosomal RNA is filed under the name uncultured bacterium. RNAcentral describes it as "partial 16S ribosomal RNA". It matches the Rfam family "Bacterial small subunit ribosomal RNA", at positions 28 to 523 of the family's 1533-position model. The record is from RNAcentral.
GAUGAACGCUGGCGGCGUGCCUAAUACAUGCAAGUCGAGCGAAUGGAUUAAGAGCUUGCUCUUAUGAAGUUAGCGGCGGACGGGUGAGUAACACGUGGGUAACCUGCCCAUAAGACUGGGAUAACUCCGGGAAACCGGGGCUAAUACCGGAUAACAUUUUGAACCGCAUGGUUCGAAAUUGAAAGGCGGCUUCGGCUGUCACUUAUGGAUGGACCCGCGUCGCAUUAGCUAGUUGGUGAGGUAACGGCUCACCAAGGCAACGAUGCGUAGCCGACCUGAGAGGGUGAUCGGCCACACUGGGACUGAGACACGUCCCAGACUCCUACGGGAGGCAGCAGUAGGGAAUCUUCCGAAAUGGACGAAAGUCUGACGGAGCAACGCCGCGUGAGUGAUGAAGGCUUUCGGGUCGUAAAGCUCUGUUGUCAGAGAAGAACAAGUACCGGAGUAACUGCCGGUACCUUGACGGUACCUGACCAGAAAGCCACGGCUAACUACGUGCCAGCCGCCGCAGUAA